CAAAAGUCUGUUUUAAAAUCAUAUGGACCAAUAGACAAUGUAUAUUCACUUCUAGAUCUUAUCCAAGCUUGAUGUUAAAAGGUAUUGGUCGUUGGUAUUAGUAUUCUAGCUGCAAUGGAUUAUAUACAUUUAAAAUUCAAUUACAUAGGGCGUAUACAUAAUGACAUAAGGUUUGCCUGCUUUACAAUAAUUGGUUAUCUAAGAAAAAAUAGGUGGUAACUUAGUAUUAUUCGAUAUCUAUGAUUAAAGCCAUACGUUAUGAUGUUUUGGUAAGUUACACACAAAGACCUUCUUGAGACUUCUAAUUAAAUGAAUGAAUGAAUGAUUGCCUAUAGAAAUGUGAACCUUCACAGGAAUUCAGGCUUACAAGGCUAGGUCAAAGGUUAUUAUCAACAGGGUCCACAAGUCUCCAUCCAUCAUUCUUGACUUAAAACCAUAUGUGUGUAAAUUACAGUAUGUGUAUAAAUUACAUUAUGAUAGUAAUCUAUCUGGGUAGGCCCCUCGAUGUCUGGAUAUGCUUAAAAUAAUAACUUACAAUAUUUCUAUAUUCCUACAACACGUUGAAUACAUUUAAAGUUCAUAAAAAUAUUUUUCAAGUUCCCCUUUGAUGCUUUUUAUGUAAAUAUAAUGCAUCAUAAUUUAUUCCAAUUCCUUGUAAAACUUUAAUUUUGUAGUCAGGAAUUUACAUCUGUAUUCCACAUCCAUCAGUUGAGACCGUAAACGAUUGAUUCUUUUAAACAUAUACCAACUAAAGAAGAAUAAAACCAUAAUAAUAAUAAUUAUCAAAAUUACCAAAGGAUGAGUUAUGAAGUGUGUCAUACCCAUAACUAAUCCUGUCUUUUGUCCCCCAAACCACCGUUGCCACCAGGAUGUGGUUUCUUCGAUAUAAUCAUGUUUAAUGCUUUUAAUCAUACCUUGCACUGUAUGUAUUUGUACUAAAGUGUUAUGUACUCCAGUCGCAGCUUUAUCAAUAACUUGUAAUAACUCUUCAUUGUUCUUUAACUGCUUAUAGAAAUCAACUCCGUAACCUAUGUUUACAUUAUAUAAAGUACGUUGAUCAUAUUUCAUAAUAGAAUCAGUCCUUUUUAGUAUGGGUGGUAUUAUGUCAUAAUAUUUACCUUAGCAUUUGUGUAAGGAUUAACAAGUGUAUCUAUUAAGUAGAUUUAGCAAUUUAACCCAUCAUCGUUGACACUUCUCACAUUAAACAUAGUAAGGGUAAGGGUGUUGUCUAUACCAGUAGGUACCACACACCUACUCUCCGUAUUAUUUUGCAUUAUAUAUGUCCGAUCCUUGGUAAUAUUAAUGAUUAAAUCAAUUCGUCCGUCAACUGAUAGAUAUGUCAUACAUGGUUCUUGGUUAUCAUGGAAUAUGAGCGCACCGGAUAUUGCAUCCUCAGAUGUGUCUGCAUUAAUGCAUCCACAAUAAUCAACAUCAGGAGUCUUACAAUAUCUCACUUUACACUCAUAGGGGAAUGCUGUACAUUUAGAAAAAGUAUCUCUAAUAUCACAAUCUGGAGUACCUGUACCUUGGGUAUUGAUUGUACCUAACAUCAUCAUGAUUAAAAACAGUAUGAUGCUAUGCAAU
This 1584-nucleotide long non-coding RNA is filed under the name Pelobates cultripes (western spadefoot toad). The record is from RNAcentral. Lineage: Eukaryota; Metazoa; Chordata; Amphibia; Anura; Pelobatidae.